GGGUGACUGUGCUAGCCCGCUCCUUUCCGGGAGUGUGUGCCGGCAUACGUCAUUCAUCCUUCUAGAAAGCCUUGCCUGCCGUUCAUUCGGCCGGGCAUGUGCGGUCUAGAUCUUUUACUUUGAAUAAAUUAGAGUGUUUAAAGCAGGCUUACGCUAUGAAUACACUAGCAUGGAAUAAUAAUAUAGGACUUUGGUUCUAUUUUGUUGGUUUCUAGGACUGAAGUA
Molecule: ribosomal RNA, 225 nt
Filed under: uncultured fungus
Lineage: Eukaryota; Fungi
Description: partial small subunit ribosomal RNA
Rfam family: Eukaryotic small subunit ribosomal RNA (bases 98-225)
Source: RNAcentral